This 76-nucleotide transfer RNA is filed under the name Chloroflexi bacterium RBG_13_51_18. Its description in RNAcentral is "tRNA-Lys". It matches the Rfam family "tRNA". Rfam says of the family: Transfer RNA (tRNA) molecules are approximately 80 nucleotides in length. RNAcentral also lists the same sequence under 3 other names. The record is from RNAcentral. Lineage: Bacteria; Bacillati; Chloroflexota.
GAGGCGCUAGCUCAGUCGGUAGAGCAACGGCCUUUUAAGCCGUGGGUCCUGGGUUCGAUCCCCAGGCGCCUCACCA